This 510-nucleotide ribosomal RNA is filed under the name uncultured organism. RNAcentral describes it as "bacterial SSU rRNA". It matches the Rfam family "Bacterial small subunit ribosomal RNA", at positions 930 to 1432 of the family's 1533-position model. The record is from RNAcentral.
CGUUGGAGCAUGGGCUUUAAUUCGAUUGCUACGCUGAAGAACCUUACCUGGACUUUACUUGGGGGUUAAAGUUUUCAGAGAUUAUAACCCUUCUUUCGGGUACGCCCUACACAGGUUCUGCAUGUUUGUCGUCAGCUCGUGUCGUUAGAUGUUGGUUAUAGUUCCCGCAACGUAGCGCAACCCUGGUCCGUAGUUGCCAUCGGUCAUUUCCGGGAACUCUAGGGAGACUGCCUGGUACAACCAGGAGGAAGGUGGGGAUGACGUCAAAUCAUCAUGGCCCUUACGUCCAGGGCUAGACACGUGCUACAAUGGCCGGUACAGAGGGCUGCAAGACUGCGAAGUCAAGCCAAUCCCUUAAAACCGGUCUCAGUUCGGAUUGGAGUCUGCUAUUCGACUCCAUGAAGGUGGAAUCGCUUAGUAAUCGCGGAUCAGCAUGCCGCGGUGUUACGUUCCCGGCAUUGUACACACCGCCCGUCUAGCCACGAAAGAUGGCAGUGCCCGAAGUCGCUA